Molecule: long non-coding RNA, 1837 nt
Filed under: Homo sapiens (human)
Lineage: Eukaryota; Metazoa; Chordata; Mammalia; Primates; Hominidae
Description: HSALNT0103148
Source: RNAcentral
CUGGUCUGCAUCUCCCUGGUGAUCUGGUUCUCAUCCGAAUGCAGACAGCGGAAAGGGAGGGUUUUCCACAAGGAGGUCGGCAAGUAUUUCUAGAAAGAAAAGAGCUUCUCUUCUAAUUAGAGCACCAAAGACUACGCUACAGUCAGAGAACGACUUUUAAAACCCACUUUGUAAGGAAGGAGCCCAGGAGACCUCCAGCACUUUUCUGCAGAGAAAUACUCACAGGGAGAGACUGUCGAUUGAGAUGGGGCCAGGGGGCUGCCUGUGACUGGUUAUCUUCCAGGUCAGCAAGAGGGCAGGGGCCAGUGCUACACAGCUGUCUUACAAAAGAUUUUACUUCACUUUGAAAAAUCUACCCGUCUUGGUACAUACGCAGCUGCUUCGUUAGUUGUGACUCUGCACAGCAUGAAGUUUAUACCCACCUGCUCCGAUGACAGACAGGACUUACUUGGUUUGUGUUUGGGCAUCCAACACAUCGUCUUACCACUGCAGUCCAUGAAAAGUGCACUGACAAGAACAUUGGGAUCUCCAGGUAGUUGUUUCUACCCAGGAAGAGACGAGGGAAGACCACCAAAGCAGUGUGGUAGCCGGGAAAUUACAGAUAAGGAUCAUGGCCCUGUUCAGUUUCUUCAUCCACCACCCAUGAAGAGGCAUCGCCUAAGAAGCUGUGAUUCUGUUUCACCCAUGUGAACAAGGCAAUCCUCAGGAGGUCCAAAAGCAGCUAGAAGAACAUAGACCCCUGGAGAACUUUGUGGAGAAGGGCUUCUAGAAGUCUCUGGUUUGCCCUUCAACAGCACAUUUAUAUGACAAAGAAAAUUUUCUAUCUUGCUUAAUCAUUGUUACUUGGUCUUUAUGGUACUAAUCAAAUAAACAUCCUAACUGAAAAAAAUCAGAGUAGAAUUAAGGACUGAUAACUAAAGGGGGGCCAAAGUUUACACACACCUACCUAGAUUAUUCCGAGAGUCUUUUGACUGAUUUUACUGUUUUUGGUCUUGUCCCUGUUCAAUGCAUUCUCCAUAUUAUAACUAUAAUCUAAGACAUAAUCUGGUUAUACUACCUGCCUAUUAAGAAACCACUGCCUAGAGUUGAGUUGUAUUGUCUAAUAAAGUAGCCACUAAAAUUCAGUAAAAAUUCAUUAGUACUAGCCACAUUUCAAGUGGUUUUUUUUUUUUUUUUUGAGGCAGGGUCUAUUUCUGUCUCCCAGACUGGAGUGCAGUGGCGCAAAUACAGCUUACUGAUGCCUCGACCUCCCAGGCUCAAGCGAUCCUCCCACCUCAGCCUCCCAAGUAGCUGGGACUACAGGGGCAUGCCACCAUGCCUGAUAAUUUUUUUUGUAUUUUUUGUGAAGACAGGGUUUCAUCAUUUUGUCCAGGCUAGUCUCAAACUCCUGAGGUCAAGGGAUAUGCCUGCCUCGGCCUCCAAAAGUGCUGGGAUUACAGGCGUGAGCCACCAUGCCCAGCCUCAAGAGUUUAAUAGCCACAUGUACAUAGCGAUUACUGUGUUGGACAACACAGAUACAGGAUAAAGUUCUAUUGGACAGCAUUGGGCUAGGAGAAGCAUGUCCAAGCCACCCACAUGUCCUGUAAAGCUUUCUCUCCAGACUUACCUGCUGUCGCCAUAAACUUAGUCAAGGCCACCAUGCUGUUUCUCAGCCCUGCAUUUGUUCAUAAUGCUACUGCCAAGGAAUUCUCUCUCCUCCACCUUGUCCACCUAGAAAACAAUUCAUUUUUUUUAAGUAUUACCUUAUUUACACACACACCCAAAAAACCCCAGAAGCAUUGAGUAGUUCAAGAAUUAAUUUUGAAUACAUCUUCCCAUUUAUCUACUAUCCCUACAA